This 495-nucleotide ribosomal RNA is filed under the name uncultured bacterium. RNAcentral's name for it is "partial 16S ribosomal RNA". It matches the Rfam family "Bacterial small subunit ribosomal RNA", at positions 30 to 507 of the family's 1533-position model. The record is from RNAcentral.
UGCACGCUGGCGGCGUGCCUAAUACAUGCAAGUCGAGCGAACAGACGAGGAGCUUGCUCCUCUGACGUUAGCGGCGGACGGGUGAGUAACACGUGGAUAACCUACCUAUAAGACUGGGAUAACUUCGGGAAACCGGAGCUAAUACCGGAUAAUAUAUUGAACCGCAUGGUUCAAUAGUGAAAGACGGUUUUGCUGUCACUUAUAGAUGGAUCCGCGCCGCAUUAGCUAGUUGGUAAGGUAACGGCUUACCAAGGCAACGAUGCGUAGCCGACCUGAGAGGGUGAUCGGCCACACUGGAACUGAGACACGGUCCAGACUCCUACGGGAGGCAGCAGUAGGGAAUCUUCCGCAAAGGGCGAAAGCCUGACGGAGCAACGCCGCGUGAGUGAUGAAGGUCUUCGGAUCGUAAAACUCUGUUAUUAGGGAAGAACAAAUGUGUAAGUAACUAUGCACGUCUUGACGGUACCUAAUCAGAAAGCCACGGCUAACUACGUG